RNAcentral lists this ribosomal RNA (440 nucleotides) under uncultured bacterium. RNAcentral's name for it is "partial 16S ribosomal RNA". It matches the Rfam family "Bacterial small subunit ribosomal RNA", at positions 338 to 795 of the family's 1533-position model. The record is from RNAcentral.
CCUACGGGAGGCAGCAGUGGGGAAUAUUGCACAAUGGGGGAAACCCUGAUGCAGCGACGCCGCGUGAGCGAGGAAGUAUUUCGGUAUGUAAAGCUCUAUCAGCAGGGACGAAAAAAGACGGUACCUGACUAAGAAGCCCCGGCUAACCACGGGCCAGCAGCAGCGGUAAUACGUGGGGGGCAAGCGUUAUCCGGAUUUAUUGGGUUUAAAGGGUGCGCAGGCGGCCUGUUAAGGCAGCGGUAAAAGCCCGGGGCUCAACCCCGGCGAGCCGGUGAAACUGGCGGGCUGGAGGUGGAGAGAAGUACGCGGAAUGCGCGGUGUAGCGGUGAAAUGCUUAGAUAUCGCGCAGAACCCCGAUUGCGAAGGCAGCGUACCGGCUCCACACUGACGCUGAGGCACGAAAGCGUGGGUAUCGAACAGGAUUAGAUACCCCUGUAGUC